This 253-nucleotide ribosomal RNA is filed under the name uncultured bacterium. RNAcentral's name for it is "partial 16S ribosomal RNA". It matches the Rfam family "Bacterial small subunit ribosomal RNA", at positions 524 to 776 of the family's 1533-position model. The record is from RNAcentral.
UACGUAGGGUGCGAGCGUUGCCCGGAUUUAUUGGGCGUAAAGGGCUCGUAGGCGGUUUGUCGCGUCGGGAGUGAAAACACGGGGCUUAACCCCGUGCCUGCUUCCGAUACGGGCAGACUAGAGGUAUGCAGGGGAGAACGGAAUUCCUGGUGUAGCGGUGAAAUGCGCAGAUAUCAGGAGGAACACCGGUGGCGAAGGCGGUUCUCUGGGCAUUACCUGACGCUGAGGAGCGAAAGUGUGGGGAGCGAACAGG